AUGCUCGCUUCGGCAGCACAUAUACUAAAAUUGGAAUGAUACAGAGAUUAGCAUGGCCCCUGUGCAAGGAUGACACGCAAAUUCAUGGAAAAAAAAAAGAAAAA
This 104-nucleotide small nuclear RNA is filed under the name Saimiri boliviensis boliviensis (Bolivian squirrel monkey). The record is from RNAcentral. Lineage: Eukaryota; Metazoa; Chordata; Mammalia; Primates; Cebidae.